CGCGAAGAACCUUACCUGGUCUUGACAUCCACAGAAUUUUUUAGAAAUAAGAAAGUGCCUUUUAGGAACUGUGAGACAGGUGCUGCAUGGCUGUCGUCAGCUCGUGUUGUGAAAUGUUGGGUUAAGUCCCGCAACGAGCGCAACCCUUGUCCUUUUUUGCCAGCGGUUUGGCCGGGAACUACAAGGAGACUGCCGGUUAUAAACCGGAGGAAGGUGGGGACGACGUCAAGUCAUCAUGGCCCUUACGACCAGGGCUACACACGUGCUACAAUGGUGUAUACAAAGAGAAGCAAAUUCGCGAGGAUGAGCAAAUCUCAUAAAGUACAUCUUAGUUCGGACUGGAGUCUGCAACUCGACUCCACGAAGUCGGAAUCGCUAGUAAUCGUGAAUCAGAAUGUCA
Molecule: ribosomal RNA, 400 nt
Filed under: Buchnera aphidicola (Tuberculatus querciformosanus)
Lineage: Bacteria; Pseudomonadati; Pseudomonadota; Gammaproteobacteria; Enterobacterales; Erwiniaceae
Description: bacterial SSU rRNA
Rfam family: Bacterial small subunit ribosomal RNA
Source: RNAcentral